AGCAUGCAACUUGGCCUUGGCUUCACAAAAGGCGCUUUUUUCGAAGGCGCCCGGGAGCUCUUGCUUUUGCUUGAGGGUCUUUGGUGUUGACUGAGAGCGAAUUAAAAGGUUCUCAGCUUUCGCUAAGGAACGCAUUCUGGAGUCUAGAACAGGCGAAGAUGGGACUGGGGUGUCUGGGGACUUAGACGUGAGCGAGCAAGGGAAUCCGGGAUGUUGUAAAAGUUGUUGAGUUCUGGAUUUGAUUCUCAGCUUGGUCACUGUUGGUGCAUAGAAGAGCUACUAAUUUGUGUACGUCGGAAACUUUGCCGAAUUGGACUACGUUUCUAGAAAUGGAUUCCUGAAUUAAAAGAGAUGCUUCUCUUAAAUAUUUAUGUAAAGUUACUCUCAGAAAGGUUGUAAGUGGAUUCCUCCCACCAAAAGUAUUGUGAAUGAAUAUCUUCUUAAAAUUUACAAUUGUUUUGACCAUUUCCCAGUCCUUAAACCAAUGAUAACAUUUUAUUUUCUUUUUCUUUUUUCUUUUCUUUCUUUUUUUUUUUUUUUUUUGAGACAGAGUUUUGCUCUAGUUGCCCAGGCUGGAGCAAUGGCGCGAUCUUGGCUCACCGCAACCUCCACCUCCCAGGUUCAAGCGAUUCUCCUGCCUCAGCCUUCCCAAGUAGCUGGGACUACAGACAUGCGCCACCAAGCCCAGCUAAUUUUGUAUUUUUAGUAGAGAUGGGGUUUCUCCAUGUGGGUCAGGCUGGUCUUGAACUCCCAACCUCAGGUGAUCCGCCCACCUCAGCCUCCCAAAGUGCUGGGAUUACAGGCGUAAGCCACCGCGCCCGGCCUUUAUUUUCAUAAUAUUUCCAUGUCUUUUAUUUCUCAUAAGCUUACAUAUGCAUUCAAGUAUUUAUUGGUCAUUUUCAAUUUUUCCUUCUAAGAGUCUAUAUUCUUUACCUAUUUCUACACAUUUUUGUAUUCAUCUAUAUGUUGAUUUGUUUUAAAUUUAUUAUCUGUUUGUUGUAUCUGAAAUAUUUUCCCUUAGUUUAUUUGCUACUUAAAUUUGAGGGAGGCAGGGAAGUUUACUGGAACAUACUUUAUAUUUUCUAUAAUUUAUUAACUAUUUACUUCAUAAUUUGUGUUUUGGCUGUCAAACCUACCGACCAAAAUUAUAAUAACAUCAAUUUGUAAUUUGAUAAGCACUCUGGUAGUCUAUUUUUAAGUUAUACAUGUCGUGAACAUUAUUUGUUUUAAUGUGUGAGGGAUGGAAGUUACUUUAUUUUUCCAGGUGGUUAACUAGUUAACACAGAUUAUUGCUUUUCUGUAAUACUUUUACUGAGAUAUAAUUCAUAUACUCUAAAACUCACCCAUUUAAAGUGUACAAUUCAGUAGAUUCUUUUUUAUUUCUUUGAGACAGAGUUUUGCUCUUGUUGCCCAGGUUGGAGUUCAAUGGCGUGAUCUCAGCUCACUGCAACCUCCGCCUCCUGGGUUCAAGCGACUCUCCUGCCUCAGCCUCCCGAGUAGCUGGGAUUACAGGCACCUGCCAUCACGCCUGGCUAAUUUUUGUAUUUUUUAGUAAAGACAGGGGUUUCACCAUGUUGGCCAUGCUGGUCUUGAACUCCUAACCUCAGGUGAUCUGCCCGCCUCAGUCUCCCAAAGUGCUGGGAUUACAGGUGUGAGCCACCGUGCCUGGCCGAAUUCAGUAGUUUCUAGUUUAUUCAAAGAGCUAUGCAACCAUCAUCACAAUCAAUUUUAGAACAUUUUCAUUGCCCAAAAAGACACCAAUACCCACUAGCAAUCAUCAUUUUCAGCCACUCCAUGGGCUACAGGGAUCUUUUCUGUUAUUGCACUUGUUCUAUAUUCAUAUUUCAUGUAAUAAACAUGCAUUGCUUUUGUAAUUACAAAGUAAAAAGAAAAACGUUUU
Molecule: small RNA, 1900 nt
Filed under: Pan troglodytes (chimpanzee)
Lineage: Eukaryota; Metazoa; Chordata; Mammalia; Primates; Hominidae
Description: processed transcript
Source: RNAcentral